CCUACGGGAGGCAGCAGUGAGGAAUAUUGGUCAAUGGACGAGAGUCUGAACCAGCCAAGUAGCGUGAAGGAUGACUGCCCUAUGGGUUGUAAACUUCUUUUAUAUGGGAAUAAAAUGUUCCACGUGUGGGAUUUUGUAUGUACCAUAUGAAUAAGGAUCGGCUAACUCCGUGCCAGCAGCCGAGGUAAUCCGGAGGAUCCGAGCGUUAUCCGGAUUUAUUGGGGUUAAAGGGAGCGUAGGUGGAUUGUUAAGUCAGUUGUGAAAGUUUGCGGCUCAACCGUAAAAUUGCAGUUGAAACUGGCAGUCGUGAGUACAGUAGAGGUGGGCGGAAGUCGUGGUGUAGCGGUGAAAUGCUUAGAUAUCGCGAAGAACUCCGAUUGCGAAGGCAGCUCACUGGACUGCAACUGACACUGAGGCUCGAAAGUGUGGGUAUCAAACAGGAUUAGAUACCCCUGUAGUC
Molecule: ribosomal RNA, 460 nt
Filed under: uncultured bacterium
Lineage: Bacteria
Description: partial 16S ribosomal RNA
Rfam family: Bacterial small subunit ribosomal RNA
Source: RNAcentral